GUAGCGAAGUGGCUAAACGCGACGGACUGUAAAUCCGUUCCUUAGGGUUCAGUGGUUCGAAUCCACUU
This 68-nucleotide transfer RNA is filed under the name Listeria fleischmannii subsp. coloradonensis. RNAcentral describes it as "tRNA-OTHER". It matches the Rfam family "tRNA", at positions 8 to 63 of the family's 71-position model. From Rfam's summary of the family: Transfer RNA (tRNA) molecules are approximately 80 nucleotides in length. Their secondary structure includes four short double-helical elements and three loops (D, anti-codon, and T loops). Lineage: Bacteria; Bacillati; Bacillota; Bacilli; Caryophanales; Listeriaceae. The record is from RNAcentral.